GAUGAACGCUGGCGGCGUGCCUAAUACAUGCAAGUAGAACGCUGAAGGAAGGAGCUUGCUCUUUCCGGAUGAGUUGCGAACGGGUGAGUAACGCGUAGGUAACCUGCCUGGUAGCGGGGGAUAACUACUGGAAACGAUAGCUAAUACCGCAUAACAGUAGAUGUUGCAUGAUAUCUACUUAAAAGGUGCAAUUGCACCACUACCAGAUGGACCUGCGUUGUAUUAGCUAGUUGGUGAGGUAACGGCUCAACAAGGCGACGAUACAUAGCCGACCUGAGAGGGUGGUCGGCCAACCUGGGAAUGGGACACGGCCCAGGAUCCUUCGGGAGGCAGCAGGAGGGAAUCUUCGGCAAUGGACGGAAGUCUGACCGAGCAACGCCGCGUGAGUGAAGAAGGGUUUCGGAUCGUAAAGCUCUGUUGUAAGAGAAGAACGAGUGUGAGAGUGGAAAGUUCACACUGUGACGGUAUCUUACCAGAAAGGGACGGCUAACUACGUG
RNAcentral lists this ribosomal RNA (497 nucleotides) under uncultured bacterium. RNAcentral's name for it is "partial 16S ribosomal RNA". It matches the Rfam family "Bacterial small subunit ribosomal RNA", at positions 28 to 507 of the family's 1533-position model. The record is from RNAcentral.